This 6124-nucleotide long non-coding RNA is filed under the name Sus scrofa (pig). Its description in RNAcentral is "lncRNA (ENSSSCG00035035939.1)". Lineage: Eukaryota; Metazoa; Chordata; Mammalia; Artiodactyla; Suidae. The record is from RNAcentral.
UAUAAAUUAGUUUUGCCUGUUUAAAGAUUUUAUAUAAAUGGAACCACACAGUAGUUUUGUGUAAGGUUUUUCACAGCAUGAAGGUUUUCAGGAAUCCAUCUAUGUUGUUGCAUGAAUCAGUAGUCAGUUCUUUUUUAAGGCCAAAAUGUACUCCACUUAGGAAGCUUGUAAUUUAUCUACUCCCCUCUAGAUGGACACCCAGGCUAUUUCCACCUAUGGCUAUUCUAAACAAAGCUGCCAGAAAAAAUACUUGUGCAUGUCUUUUUGCAGACCUAUAUUUCACUCCUUGGAAAAUGCCAAGAAGUGAAACUGCUGGCAUCAAGGGGUGUAUAUGUUUAGCUUUAUAAGAAAUGUCCAGACUGAAAACUUGCUAAAUUAAUUAGUCCCCAUAGUUUUGUAGAUUCUUUAGUAUGUUCUGUGCCAUCAACCAUGUCAUCUGUAAACAGAGAGCACUUUACUGCUUCCUUUUCAAUCUGCAUUUCUUUUAUUUCUCUCUUCUACAAGCUGAGAUCUCCAAAACAACUUCAAGAGGUAAGAGUGGACACCUUACCAGGUGAUCAACCUUAAGGGGAAAAUAUGCACCAUUUUACCAUUAUGUAUAAUGUUAGUUGUAGAUUUUCCAUAGAUUGACUUGAUCAGGUACAAGCUCCCCUCAUUCCUACUUCAAGUUCUUAUCAUAAUUAGGUAAUGCAUUUGUCAAAUGAUUUUUCUGCAUUUACUUGUAUUUAUCUGUAUCACCAUAUAGUUAUUCCCCUCUAUUUUGUGGUCUAAAUGAAUUACAUACAUUUUCAAAUGCUAAACUUGGGCAUUUCAGCAAUAAAGCCAACUAAUUUGUGACAAAUCAUCAUUUUCACACAUUGUAGUAUUCUAUUUCAUAGGAUUUUAUUAAGCACUCCAUUUUUAAAAAUUUGUUUGGCAUCAGAAUUAAGAUAGUGACAUAAAAUGUGUUCUCAUUCUCUGUUUUCUGAAAUACUUUAAGAGUGGUGUUACUGUUUCCUCAAUUGUUUGAUAGAAUUCACCAGUGAAAUCACAUGGACCACAAGUAUCUUUUUAACAGUCACUGUUCAGGCAUUGUGUAAGGUAAUUUAAUUGCAUUAUUCCUGUUUAUAGAAACACUUUAAAUAGUAUAGUACUUUGUUUUAAAUGUGUCAAAACUGAGGGUUAACAGAGAUUAAGUAACUUACCCAAAGACAUGUAGCUAGUAUGUCAGACAUAAACACCCGGGUAUGAUUAGCUUUAAAAUUUUUACCUUGCCAUAGGAAGUCAUGACAGAUUUUAAGUUGCACAGAUCACUUAAGCUGUGGCAAUAUAUGGUACACACAAAAUGAGCUAGGGACUCUGCUGGUCAUAAUUGCUUUUUCAAGACAAGAAAGAAGUCAUUUCUCUAAAAUGUAUUAAAUUCAAAGUCCAAUUUCAAGCACGCCACUAAUCUAAUACUUUUUUCUUUUUUUAGGGCCGCACCUGUGGCAUAUGGAAGGGGUCAAACCAGACCCAUAAAGCUGCCGGCUUAAAGCACAGCCACAUGGGAUCUGAGCCUCUUGUGCAACCUACACCACAGCUGAUGGCAACGCCGGAUCCCUAAGCCACUCAGCGAGGGCCAGGAACAAACCUGCAUCCUCACGGAUACCAGUUGGGUUCGUUACCGCUGUGCCACAACUGGAACUUCCACCACGAAUCCCAUUCUUGAAAGAAGGCACAUUAGAUGAUGAAGUCAGCUAUAUUUAAUAUUAAUCAUAGAUUAAAACAUAUUCACUCUAUCCUAUUUUUGUUUUAAAUAUCUGAUUAUGCAACUGUGUGUACCUAGAGCCUACAAAUAUAUAAAAUAAGCCACUGGCUCAGUUUAUUCCUUCACUAGUGGGUCCUCAUCAUAGAAAAGCCAUGAGAAAAUUAGGAUGCAUUAGACAGUAGAGUGCUAAUUAGUAAAUAUAAGAAUCUCAUUUAAAAAUCACACUUAUGUAACCAAAUUUCUCCCCAAAACUAACAUUUCUAUUUGAUUGGACACUGAAAACAAACACCACAGAUCUCUAGGCUCUUUAUGAUUCCCUGGUAACCCAAAAGAGAGAGAUUUGCUUCUCAAAAUGGGAUAUAUCACUGCCUAAUGAGUUUCCAAGUCCAAAAAUAACCACACACACACACACACUCCAAUGGUACUGGGCAUACAAAAUAAACAUACAUUGCUGUGGAUUGAUUUUUUUUAUGUGAGAAAAUACACAGGCACAUGAUCCCAACAUAAAUAUUCAACUUAUUAUUUCCUUCAUUUAAAGUUACCAAAUCAGCAAAAAAAGAACAAGUCAGCUACCCAGUGUUUCUUUUAGCAAAAAGGGAGAGUUAUAUUUUUGUUCCUUGGAAGAAACAUAUAAUGUAAUGGGCAAAAUGUCAAGUGGGUGGGGAGUUAUUAGCCCAUAUAAACCUCCAGAGAGCUCUCUCAGGAAAAGGAAUUCUGAAUAAGACACUGCACUAGCACAUUUGGCUUCAAAACGUCAUUCAAGGAGGCAGAUAGGGGGCUGGGUUUUACGGGAGCAGGACCCACACCAAAUGUUCCUAACCAGACAGCAAGUGAUUGUGAGGUUCUGAGGGCUCCCCAAAGUCAGGAGUUAUUUAGGAAAACUGGAGUUUUAAACACUGGGAAGAUGGACUGCAAAAAAACGAGCUCAGAGCGUCAAGGCAGAAUCAAUACUGGGACCUUAGGAGCUGGUUCAGAGAGAGAGCUUGCACACAGGAACAAAGGAGAAACACCCUGGAUCCUUUCUGCAAGGCUUCCUGCCUGGAUUUCUCAUCUAUCAGAUGGGCGUGUCUAUGGGAAAAGUCCGAAUGGCUUAUGAAGCUCAAAGUAAGACGUGGGUCAAGAUGCAGUUGCUCUACAUGAGAACAGCUGAAUUGCCAGACAAUAUUCUAUUCAUUUAUUUAGUACAUAUUUCCUGAGCAGCUCAACGCCUUAAUUUUUUCCUAAUGUUGGCCUCUAUUUUAGAUAAGUCUGAUAUAUAUUUUUAAAAUCUGUAUUUAAAAACUAAGAAUGCUGCAGCUGUACACCUUGGCUCGGGAACAUCCGCAUGUCCUGGGCUCAGCCAAAAACAAACAAGCCAAUGCCCACCGUUUCCAGGAGGCUUCACUGGAGGACGGCAUUCUACUUCACAGGCAACGCAUUUAAGGAGAGUUGAUUUGCAAAAUGUUUUCUCAGGGAUCCCUUCAUCAUGCAUGUGGAGCUUUACGCAGCGUGGUGAUUAAGAACAGGAACUGGGAAGGCAGGCUGCAUGGGCUCAAAUGCCAGCUUCACCACUUUUAAGCUGGGUGACCUUGGGCAAGUUAUGAAACCUUUUUGGAAUCAGUUAUUCUCCACUCUGCAACGGAGGAGAGAGCAAUACCUACCUCACGUGGGUGUUCUGAAAGUGAUUACACAGAAAGCAUUGUCAAAUCAUGCCCAGCCGGAGGAGGUGAUAGCAAAGAGUCAGCUGUUGAUGCCGUUAUACUCCGAGAACAUACAUACUGUGAAAAGACCAUUUCUUUUUCUUCUCACUAGAUUAAAAAAUGUUCCAUUUCAAAACAUUCCAAAAACCAGGUGGUCCUGUCUAUCUCACUAUCUGCCAAACUCCUUCCUUAAAGAAACUGAAGUUAUGUGGCUCGAAGUCAAAUUUAAUGAUUGAGACUGCAUCUACAAAUCCACCAAGACUUGGGAAAGGAAUAGCCCUUUAAUAAUUCAUAGUUACUAUUUCAAAUGCCUGUUUGGGUCUGGAAGUAACCAAAUGAGCAAGUUCUAACUACUCACACGUACACCUCAAUAACAACCAAGCCUCAUCCCCUGACAGAAUCAGAUGGGGUUACGGAAACUCAGACCACUCUCACCUUCCCAUCCCUCACCUCCACCUGCAUCAGAUGCCACGGCCACUGUUCUCUGUGCAGAUCCCUGGGCACACCACUGGGCACUCCCAAGAUGGCACGGGAACCCCAAAGUGAUAGAGCCACAACAGUGGCCUCUGGCAAAGGACACUGCUUUUCCUGGUGCCCAAGGCCAUGAGGGGAGCCUGUCAUGAUGCUUCAAGUUCCUGUCACAGAAACUGCCAACAGCUCUCUAGAUUUUUAUUGACAGGCUUUCUGCUGUUUUCCACAAACUCCCAAAUCCCAUUAAAAACAAUUGUACACCUUGGCCGGGAAAGUCCUCAUGCCUGGGGCUCAGCCAAAAACAAACAAGCCAAACAGACAAACAAACUUUACAUUUAAGGUGUUUUUAUAGUUUGUAGAAACCUUGUUUCUUAUGCAAAUUCCAGAUAACUGUGUCAUGGGGGAGGGGACCAAAUAUAAGUAAAUGUGCACAUAUUUGACUACGCAGAAUGACUGCUCAUACACUGUACAUAUAGGCGGGGCCUUUACCAGCCUCCACCUCUGAGUUCUGUUUGAAAUAGCUGACAAAGGACAUAGAAGAUUCUCUGCAAAGUGGGAGAAGGUGUGGUUCAUGCGCAGUCUUCAAGUCUUCCCAAAUGACUUGGGAAUCCAUUGUUGGGCUGGUGGGGGCGGGGGUGGCCAAAAAGUUGACUUUUGGCUAUUUUUAUGUUCAUAACCAGUUAUCUACAAGCAUAUGAAAAACUUAAAUGGAAAAAGUAAGAUUUAAGAAGAGAGAAAUACACUGAAUUUUAGAAGUCCUCCUUAUAUUACUCUUUGCUUUUCAGCAUUGUUGAUUAUCCUAAGGACAGCAAGAAGGACUUAGAUCCCAUCAUUUCCCAUCAUUUCUCAAGUGGUCAAGAUCAAUAAUCUUCCAAAGAAAAAGCAAACACUUUCAUAGAUAAGCUUAAUUAUAAGGAGGUUUUCAGGGUCGGUAGUGCUUUGCUAGAAGGACAUUUAGCAGCAGAAAAGGCUGAGCUCUAAAGCUUCUCCAUGGAGUUCCUGUGGUGACUCAGUGGUAAUGUACACGACCAGUAUCUGUGCAGACUGGAGUUCAAUCCCUGGUCCCCCUCAGUGGGUUAAGGAUCUGGUGUUGCUGUGAGCUGCAGUGCAAGUCACAGAUGAGGCUUGGAUCCCAGGUUGCUGUGGCUAUGGUUGUGGCCCGCAGCUGCAGCUCCAACUUGACCCCUAGCCUGGGAACUUCCAUGUGCCUGGGAGCAGCCCUAAAAAGACAAAAAAAUAAAAAUAAAAAAAUAAAAAAUAAACCUCCAACACCUACAGACCUACACUGUCCAAUAUGGCCACCACCAGCCACACGUGGCUUUGGAGUGUUUUGCAUGUGACUUGUCCAAACUGUAAAACAUACUAGAAGUUAAAGGUUUUGUAUGAAAUAAAGAAUGUGAAGUAUCUGUUAAUUUUAUACUGAUGACAUAUUAAAGUGAUCAUACUUUGGAUACCUGGGUUUAAAUAAAAUACGAAUAUUAAUUUCAUUUGUUUCUCAUUACAUUUUUUUAUGUGGCUGCUAGAAAUUUUAAUCUUCUCGAUGCAGUUUGCAUUUGAGGUCCACAUUACUUUUCUUUGGACAGAACUAGGUUGAAUCGACGAGAAGAGAGAAGAGGGGAGGAAGAUCUCAGAGCCAGCAGGGCUCAGAAUAAUUAGCACAAGGAAUUACUAUAGAACAGUCCCAGCUAGCCCAUUCCUCAAAAUGAUAGAGAAACCUUGCCACUGAGAACCUAUGUACCUCUGGCUUUUAGUAGACACGCCUUUUUAAAAUCCAUCAACAUGUAUUAAGUUAUAUCUAUGGCUUUGAAGGAAUAAGAAAUGACAUAGGUAGAUAGGGGAUAUGCACAAAAAUUAUCAACUGAUGAUCGCCUAUAUUGGGUGUGGUACAGGAGGUAAAACAAUCACUACCAUCUCACACUCACAAUUCAAAACCCCUAGGCAAAUGUACUCCAGUGGUUGGACUUACUGAAAAGGAAGCAAAAUCCAGCUGCCACCUGUUUUUGGUUUUUUUUAAAUAAAGUUUUACUGGAACAUGGCCAUGGCCAUUCAUUUACGUAUUGCUCAUGGCGCCUUUUGCAUAAGAAGAAGAAAAAAUAAAGUUGUCCAUGAUCAACACUACCUAUCUUGAAGAGAAUAAAAGCAGAGUCCUCUACACACCCAUGAAUUCGCAGCAAUCAGCUUCCUGAUCUUGCUGUUCCUAGAAUAUACAAAAUAAGCUCUAACAUCAAAGCCUUUGCCACCACGGCUC